RNAcentral lists this long non-coding RNA (885 nucleotides) under Triticum aestivum (bread wheat). RNAcentral's name for it is "long non-coding RNA (TAES_LNC007623)". Lineage: Eukaryota; Viridiplantae; Streptophyta; Magnoliopsida; Poales; Poaceae. The record is from RNAcentral.
UAAAACCCAAAUGCCUUGCGCGGAAAAAGGGACCUGGGAGUUAUGAGUAGUUUUAGUGAGCACAUUAAGCUCGAUAUCUAUAGAAACAAUAUGGUUUUGCUUACUUCCUCCGUCGUGUGCGCUUGCGGCUGUCGGUGUUUUUUCAGUCCUGUAAUGUGAAUGUAAUUGGAGGGGUGAGUGAUUUUUUAUUUCCUCUUGUCCCUGUAUAGGAGCAUCAAGCAUGUCACACCUUGUAAAUUGCGAGUUCAGUGACAGAUAUACAUGUUUGCCUUUGCUAUGUUCUGAUCCUUGUGUUCCAAACCUUGGUUGGAUCAAAUUCUCCUCGAGUUCCUUUUUAUUUUUAACUUACUCCCUCAACUCCCUUGUGGCCUGCAAAUAGAGAAAUCUUGAGGUUUCUGGUCCAACAAAUCAAACAACAAUACAAGAAAUGUUUCAAGGAUUUGAAACUCUACAAAUCAUAUAUGAUGCCUAAAUAGUUUAUCUCCACUAACUCAAUUGUCUUAACAUGCAAUUAUGUCAAACUCAGUAUGCCACCAUGUAUGUCCCACUAAAUUUAAUUCUGUUAACAUGCAAUUAUGUCAACUCACCAUGACACUAUGAUUGCAUCCAAUUCCCGCAGCAACGCACAGGGUAUUUUCUCUAGUUUUCUUAAAGCUUCACUAAAAGCAAAGAGAUCAUGAACAGCAAAACAAAAGCACGGGUGGAAAAUUGUUUGUUGGGGACAUGCCAUUCCAUUGGGGCGUGUGAAUGGGGAUGGGGUGUGCUCAUGACAACAUAGCCAUUGCACAAAGGACGGCCUGUUCUGGUGCUAAACACCUGUUGCUGACACUGAGGAUGCCAACCGGAUGAGAUCAUGCGUGACAGCGAACCCAGAUAAGAUUUGUG